This is a small nuclear RNA of Gossypium arboreum, 196 nucleotides long. It matches the Rfam family "U2 spliceosomal RNA". From Rfam's summary of the family: U2 is a small nuclear RNA (snRNA) component of the spliceosome (involved in pre-mRNA splicing). Complementary binding between U2 snRNA (in an area lying towards the 5' end but 3' to hairpin I) and the branchpoint sequence (BPS) of the intron results the bulging out of an unpaired adenosine, on the BPS, which initiates a nucleophilic attack at the intronic 5' splice site, thus starting the first of two transesterification reactions that mediate splicing. The record is from Rfam. NCBI's taxonomy places the organism in Eukaryota, Viridiplantae, Streptophyta, Magnoliopsida, Malvales, Malvaceae.
AUACCUUUCUCGGCCUUUUGGCUAAGAUCAAGUGUAGUAUCUGUUCUUAUCAGUUUAAUAUCUGAUACGUGGGCCAUUGGCUCACAUGAUAUUAAAUUUAUUUUUUGAGGUGGAGGGUCCAUCGCAGUAGCUUGCUACUGGGACUCUCAAGCGUCGCCCAAGUGUUGCACUAUUGCUCGGGCCUGGCGCACACCAA